This 588-nucleotide ribosomal RNA is filed under the name Talaromyces funiculosus. Its description in RNAcentral is "eukaryotic LSU rRNA". It matches the Rfam family "Eukaryotic large subunit ribosomal RNA", at positions 1 to 591 of the family's 3401-position model. The record is from RNAcentral. Lineage: Eukaryota; Fungi; Ascomycota; Eurotiomycetes; Eurotiales; Trichocomaceae.
UUGACCUCGGAUCAGGUAGGAGUUACCCGCUGAACUUAAGCAUAUCAAUAAGCGGAGGAAAAGAAACCAACCGGGAUUGCCUCAGUAACGGCGAGUGAAGCGGCAAGAGCUCAAAUUUGAAAUCUGGCCCCCUCGGGGUCCGAGUUGUAAUUUGCAGAGGAUGCUUCGGGUGCGGUCCCCAUCUAAGUGCCCUGGAACGGGCCGUCAUAGAGGGUGAGAAUCCCGUCUGGGAUGGGCGGCCGCGCCCGUGUGAAGCUCCUUCGACGAGUCGAGUUGUUUGGGAAUGCAGCUCUAAGCGGGUGGUAAAUUUCAUCUAAAGCUAAAUACUGGCCGGAGACCGAUAGCGCACAAGUAGAGUGAUCGAAAGAUGAAAAGCACUUUGAAAAGAGAGUUAAACAGCACGUGAAAUUGUUGAAAGGGAAGCGUUGUCCACCAGACUCGCCCGGGGGGGUUCAGCCGGCACGUGUGCCGGUGUACUCCUCUCCGGGCGGGCCAGCAUCGGUUUGGGCGGCUGGUGAAAGGCCCCGGGAAUGUACCACCCUCCGGGGUGUCUUAUAGCCCGGGGUGCCAUACAGCCAGCCUGGACCG